AGUGAACGCUGGCGGUAGGCCUAACACAUGCAAGUCGAACGGCAGCACAGGAGAGCUUGCUCUCUGGGUGGCGAGUGGCGGACGGGUGAGGAAUACAUCGGAAUCUACUUUUUCGUGAGGGAUAACGUAGGGAAACUUACGCUGAUACCGCAUACGACCUACGGGGGACAGCAGCGGAUCUUCGGACCUUGCGCGAUUGAAUGAGCCGAGGUCGGAUUAGCUAGUUGGCGGGGUAAAGGCCCACCAAGGCGACGAUCCGUAGCUGGUCUGAGAGGAUGAUCAGCACCACUGGAACUGAGACACGGUCCAGACUCCUACGGGAGGCAGCAGUGGGGAAUAUUGGACAAUGGGCGCAAGCCUGAUCCAGCCAUACCGCGUGGGUGAAGAAGGCCUUCGGGUUGUAAAGCCCUUUUGUUGGGAAAGAAAUCCAGCUGGUUAAUACCCGGUUGGGAUGACGGUACCCAAAGAAUAAGCACCGGCUAACGUCGUGCCAGCCGCCGCCGGUAA
RNAcentral lists this ribosomal RNA (507 nucleotides) under uncultured bacterium. RNAcentral describes it as "partial 16S ribosomal RNA". It matches the Rfam family "Bacterial small subunit ribosomal RNA", at positions 29 to 523 of the family's 1533-position model. The record is from RNAcentral.